GGUUAAGCGACUAAGCGUACACGGUGGAUGCCCUGGCAGUCAGAGGCGAUGAAGGACGUGCUAAUCUGCGAAAAGCGCCGGCGAGGUGAUAUGAACCUUUGACCCGGCGAUGUCCGAAUGGGGAAACCCAGUGUGUUCCGACACACUAUCGUUAACUGAAUACAUAGGUUAACGAGGCGAACCGGGGGAACUGAAACAUCUAAGUACCCCGAGGAAAAGAAAUCAACCGAGAUUCCCCCAGUAGCGGCGAGCGAACGGGGAGCAGCCCGGAGUCUGAAUCAGCUUGUGUGUUAGUGGAACGGUCUGGAAAGUCCGACGGUACAGGGUGAUAGUCCCGUACACGAAAAUGCACAUGCUGUGAACUCGAAGAGUAGGGCGGGACACGUGGUAUCCUGUCUGAAUAUGGGGGGACCAUCCUCCAAGGCUAAAUACUCCUGACUGACCGAUAGUGAACCAGUACCGUGAGGGAAAGGCGAAAAGAACCCCGGCGAGGGGAGUGAAAAAGAACCUGAAACCGUGUACGUACAAGCAGUGGGAGCACCUUCGGGUGUGACUGCGUACCUUUUGUAUAAUGGGUCAGCGACUUAUAUUCUGUAGCAAGGUUAACCGUAUAGGGGAGCCGAAGGGAAACCGAGUCUUAACUGGGCGUUAAGUUGCAGGGUAUAGACCCGAAACCCGGUGAUCUAGCCAUGGGCAGGUUGAAGGUUGGGUAACACUAACUGGAGGACCGAACCGACUAAUGUUGAAAAAUUAGCGGAUGACCUGUGGCUGGGGGUGAAAGGCCAAUCAAACCGGGAGAUAGCUGGUUCUCCCCGAAAGCUAUUUAGGUAGCGCCUCGUGAACUCAUCUUCGGGGGUAGAGCACUGUUUCGGCUAGGGGGCCAUCCCGGCUUACCAACCCGAUGCAAACUACGAAUACCGAAGAAUGUUAUCACGGGAGACACACGGCGGGUGCUAACGUCCGUCGUGAAGAGGGAAACAACCCAGACCGCCAGCUAAGGUCCCAAAGUCAUGGUUAAGUGGGAAACGAUGUGGGAAGGCACAGACAGCCAGGAUGUUGGCUUAGAAGCAGCCAUCAUUUAAAGAAAGCGUAAUAGCUCACUGGUCGAGUCGGCCUGCGCGGAAGAUGUAACGGGGCUAAACCAUGCACCGAAGCUGCGGCAGCGACGCUUAUGCGUUGUUGGGUAGGGGAGCGUUCUGUAAGCCGUUGAAGGUGUGCUGUGAGGCAUGCUGGAGGUAUCAGAAGUGCGAAUGCUGACAUAAGUAACGAUAAAGCGGGUGAAAAGCCCGCUCGCCGGAAGACCAAGGGUUCCUGUCCAACGUUAAUCGGGGCAGGGUGAGUCGACCCCUAAGGCGAGGCCGAAAGGCGUAGUCGAUGGGAAACAGGUUAAUAUUCCUGUACUUGGUGUUACUGCGAAGGGGGGACGGAGAAGGCUAUGUCAGCCGGGCGACGGUUGUCCCGGUUUAAGCAUGUAGGCGGAGGUUCCAGGUAAAUCCGGUACCUUAUUAACGCUGAGGUGUGAUGACGAGGCACUACGGUGCUGAAGUGAUAAAUGCCCUGCUUCCAGGAAAAGCCUCUAAGCAUCAGGUAACACGAAAUCGUACCCCAAACCGACACAGGUGGUCAGGUAGAGAAUACCAAGGCGCUUGAGAGAACUCGGGUGAAGGAACUAGGCAAAAUGGUGCCGUAACUUCGGGAGAAGGCACGCUGAUAUGUAGGUGAAGCCCCUGCGGGCGGAGCUGAAAUCAGUCGAAGAUACCAGCUGGCUGCAACUGUUUAUUAAAAACACAGCACUGUGCAAACACGAAAGUGGACGUAUACGGUGUGACGCCUGCCCGGUGCCGGAAGGUUAAUUGAUGGGGUUAGCGGCAACGCGAAGCUCUUGAUCGAAGCCCCGGUAAACGGCGGCCGUAACUAUAACGGUCCUAAGGUAGCGAAAUUCCUUGUCGGGUAAGUUCCGACCUGCACGAAUGGCGUAAUGAUGGCCAGGCUGUCUCCACCCGAGACUCAGUGAAAUUGAACUCGCUGUGAAGAUGCAGUGUACCCGCGGCAAGACGGAAAGACCCCGUGAACCUUUACUAUAGCUUGACACUGAACACUGGUCCUUGAUGUGUAGGAUAGGUGGGAGGCUUUGAAGCGUGGACGCCAGUCUGCGUGGAGCCGCCCUUGAAAUACCACCCUUUAAUGGCUGGUGUUCUAACGUAGACCCGUGAUCCGGGUUGCGGACAGUGUCUGGUGGGUAGUUUGACUGGGGCGGUCUCCUCCCAAAGAGUAACGGAGGAGCACGAAGGUUGGCUAAUCCUGGUCGGACAUCAGGAGGUUAGUGCAAUGGCAUAAGCCAGCUUGACUGCGAGCGUGACGGCGCGAGCAGGUGCGAAAGCAGGUCAUAGUGAUCCGGUGGUUCUGAAUGGAAGGGCCAUCGCUCAACGGAUAAAAGGUACUCCGGGGAUAACAGGCUGAUACCGCCCAAGAGUUCAUAUCGACGGCGGUGUUUGGCACCUCGAUGUCGGCUCAUCACAUCCUGGGGCUGAAGUAGGUCCCAAGGGUAUGGCUGUUCGCCAUUUAAAGUGGUACGCGAGCUGGGUUUAGAACGUCGUGAGACAGUUCGGUCCCUAUCUGCCGUGGGCGCUGGAGAAUUGAGGGGGGCUGCUCCUAGUACGAGAGGACCGGAGUGGACGCAUCACUGGUGUUCGGGUUGUCAUGCCAAUGGCACUGCCCGGUAGCUAAAUGCGGAAGAGAUAAGUGCUGAAAGCAUCUAAGCACGAAACUUGCCCCGAGAUGAGUUCUCCCUGAGACUUUAAGUCUCCUGAAGGAACGUUGAAGACGACGACGUUGAUAGGUCGGGUGUGUAAGCGCAGCGAUGCGUUGAGCUAACCGAUACUAAUGAACCGUGAGGCUUAACCUU
RNAcentral lists this ribosomal RNA (2905 nucleotides) under Klebsiella pneumoniae. RNAcentral's name for it is "23S ribosomal RNA". It matches the Rfam family "Bacterial large subunit ribosomal RNA". The record is from RNAcentral. RNAcentral also lists the same sequence under 2 other names. Lineage: Bacteria; Pseudomonadati; Pseudomonadota; Gammaproteobacteria; Enterobacterales; Enterobacteriaceae.